CAGAGUAGAACGCAGAGCGUUAGUGUUUUCAGAACACUUGAAGUGCCGUCGGAACAGGGAGUUGUCCGCGGACGAAGUCGCAGAGAGCGACGCGGUUUUGCGUUCGCAUCCCGCUGU
This 117-nucleotide non-coding RNA is filed under the name human gut metagenome. Its description in RNAcentral is "THF riboswitch". It matches the Rfam family "THF (Tetrahydrofolate) riboswitch aptamer". Rfam says of the family: THF riboswitch presents a pseudoknot that joins P1-P2 and the loop of P3 and two THF binding. The record is from RNAcentral.